Molecule: small nuclear RNA, 178 nt
Organism: Aotus nancymaae (Ma's night monkey)
Lineage: Eukaryota; Metazoa; Chordata; Mammalia; Primates; Aotidae
Gene: U1
Rfam family: U1 spliceosomal RNA
About the family: U1 is a small nuclear RNA (snRNA) component of the spliceosome (involved in pre-mRNA splicing). Its 5' end forms complementary base pairs with the 5' splice junction, thus defining the 5' donor site of an intron.
Source: Ensembl
AAACUUGAGGCAAAGAUUAAGUUGCUAACAACUUAUUUGGGAGGUACAAACCCAGGACCUCAAGGAUAAAGGAAAGGGAAGCAAAGGAAAAUGUAAUGACCCCUGCGAUUUCCCCAAAUAUGGAAAACUCGACUGCAUAAUUUGUGGUAGUGGGGGACUGCGUUCGUGCUUUCCCCUA